RNAcentral lists this ribosomal RNA (170 nucleotides) under uncultured bacterium. Its description in RNAcentral is "partial 16S ribosomal RNA". It matches the Rfam family "Bacterial small subunit ribosomal RNA", at positions 337 to 524 of the family's 1533-position model. The record is from RNAcentral.
UCCUACGGGAGGCAGCAGUGGGGGAUAUUGCACAAUGGGCGCAAGCCUGAUGCAGGGACGCCGCGUGAGGGAAGAAGGUGUUCGGAUUGUAAACCUCUGUCUUCAGGGACGAUAAUGACGGUACCUGAGGAGGAAGCCACGGCUAACUACGUGCCAGCAGCCGCGGUAAU